UGAAGUCCAUGUUUCCCUUAGCUCAGAGACAGCAGGUAUGACCAAUUUCUCAACAUUUAAAGAGCACAGGGCCAUUUCAAUUGCACGUAGAAGCCGGCGGCACAUUCCUUGACGCCUAUACAUGUAGCGGGUCCCAAUGAAUGGCAUCUCUGCUAAAUAAUUCCCAUGAAUCCUAAUUGAUGCGGCAGCAAUUAUUUCAUCCCCCCUCUCUAGGAUUGCA
RNAcentral lists this unclassified non-coding RNA (220 nucleotides) under Hevea brasiliensis (rubber tree). The record is from RNAcentral. Lineage: Eukaryota; Viridiplantae; Streptophyta; Magnoliopsida; Malpighiales; Euphorbiaceae.